Poecile atricapillus (Black-capped chickadee) is the source of this 646-nucleotide long non-coding RNA. RefSeq lists it as uncharacterized. NCBI's taxonomy places the organism in Eukaryota, Metazoa, Chordata, Aves, Passeriformes, Paridae. The transcript has 3 exons. The record is from RefSeq and is a predicted model, not a curated record.
CUGUCCCAGUCGCUCCCAGUUGCUCCCAGUCUGUUCCAGUUCGGGUUCCCAGUUCAGGCUCCAAUCCCAGUCUGUCCCAGUUUGGGCUCCCAGUUUGCCCCAGUUCAGGCUCCCAGUCUGUCCCAGUUUGGGCUCCCAUCGCUCCCAGUCGCUCCCAGUCCCUCCCAGUUGCUCCCAGUCCAUCCCAGAUGUCCCAGUUUGGGUUCCCAGUCGCUCCCAGUCCAUCCCAGUUUGGGUUCCCAGUAGCUCCCAGUCCCUCCCAGUUGCUCCCAGUCCGUCCCAGAUGUCCCAGUUUGGGUUCCCAGUCGCUCCCAGUCCAUCCCAGUUUGGAUUCCCAGUCCAUCCCAGUCCGUCCCAGAUGUCCCAGUUUGGGUUCCCAGUGGCUCCCAGUAACUCCCAGAAGCUCCCAGUCCAUCCCAGAUGUCCCAGUUUGGGUUCCCAGCUGUCCCAGUCGCUCCCAGUCCAUCCCAGUUGCUCCCAGUCCGUCCCAGUUUGGGUUCCCAGUCGCUCCCAGUGGCUCCCAGUAGCUCCCAGUCCAUCCCAUCCAUCCCAGUUUGGGUUCCCAGUGGCUCCCAGUCCAUCCCAGUAGCUCCCAGUUUGGUCUGGCUCAGGGCUGGGUUUCGGGGGGCGGCUCCGGGGGCCCCCC